CCCUUAGAUGUUCUGGGCUGCACGCGCGCUACACUGAUGCAUUCAACAAGCCUAGCCUUGACCGAGAGGUCCGGGUAAUCUUUGAAACUGCAUCGUGAUGGGGCUAGAUUAUUGCAAUUAUUAAUCUUCAACGAGGAAUGCCUAGUAAGCGUGAUUCAUCAAAUCGCGUUGAUUACGUCCCUGCCCUUUGUACACACCGCCCGUCGCUCCUACCGAUUGGAUGUGUUGGUGAGGAGCUCGGAUUGGCAGCAGUUGGUGGUUCGCCACCGGCUAUUGCUGAGAAGUCCUCCAAACCGCCCCAUUUAGAGGAAGGAGAAGUCGUAACA
RNAcentral lists this ribosomal RNA (326 nucleotides) under uncultured eukaryote. RNAcentral describes it as "partial 18S ribosomal RNA". It matches the Rfam family "Eukaryotic small subunit ribosomal RNA", at positions 1470 to 1796 of the family's 1831-position model. The record is from RNAcentral.